Molecule: ribosomal RNA, 1908 nt
Filed under: Triticum aestivum (bread wheat)
Lineage: Eukaryota; Viridiplantae; Streptophyta; Magnoliopsida; Poales; Poaceae
Description: partial small subunit ribosomal RNA
Source: RNAcentral
AUGGAACGAUGCGACUGCAUCGAGCCGCUGUGGCCGACGGACGAGCUGCUCAUCAAGUACCAGUACAUCUCCGACUUCUUCAUAGCGCUCGCCUACUUCUCCAUCCCGUUGGAGCUCAUCUACUUCGUGAAGAAGUCGUCCUUCUUCCCGUACAGAUGGGUCCUGAUCCAGUUUGGUGCCUUCAUAGUCCUCUGUGGAGCGACCCACCUCAUAAACCUGUGGACUUUCACCACACACACGAAGACCGUGGCCAUGGUCAUGACGGUCGCCAAGGUUUCGACGGCCGUCGUUUCCUGCGCGACGGCUUUGAUGCUUGUGCACAUCAUCCCUGACCUGCUGAGUGUCAAAACGAGGGAGCUGUUCCUGAAGAAUAAGGCUGAGGAGCUUGAUUGGGAGAUGGGCUUGAUAAGGACGCAGGAAGAGACCGGGAGGCAUGUUAGGAUGCUAACUCAUGAAAUCAGAAGCACGCUCGACAGACAUACGAUUUUGAAGACUACCAUUGUGGAGCUAGGAAGAACCUUGGGUCUGGAAGAGUGUGCCCUGUGGAUGCCGUCAAGGAGUGGUUCAAGUCUCCAGCUUUCGCAUACUCUGCGCCACCAAAUCACUGUUGGGUCAUCUAUAUCAAUUAAUCUUCCUGUUAUCAACCAGGUUUUCAGUAGCAAUCGAGCAAUUAUAAUACCGCACACAUCCCCUUUGGCACGGAUUCGGCCUCUUGCGGGACGAUAUGUUCCACCAGAAGUGGCUGCAGUGCGAGUACCUCUUCUAAAUCUUUCAAACUUCCAAAUAAAUGACUGGCCAGAGCUUUCAGCAAAAAGCUAUGCUAUUAUGGUUCUGAUGCUUCCAUCUGAUAGUGCAAGGAACUGGCAUGUGCAUGAGUUGGAGCUUGUUGAGGUCGUCGCCGAUCAGGUAGCAGUUGCACUCUCUCAUGCAGCUAUUCUUGAAGAGUCCAUGCGUGCACGCGAUUUACUAAUGGAGCAAAAUGUUGCCCUGGAUUUAGCUCGACGAGAGGCUGAGAUGGCCAUCCGUGCUCGGAAUGAUUUCCUAGCUGUUAUGAAUCAUGAAAUGCGAACACCAAUGAAUGCAAUCAUAGCUCUUUCAUCCUUGCUCUUGGAAACUGAACUCACCCCUGAGCAGCGUUUAAUGGUGGAAACAGUAUUGAAAAGCAGCAAUCUUCUAGCAACACUUAUCAAUGAUGUGUUGGAUCUUUCCAAACUUGAGGAUCGCAGCCUUGAAUUGGAGAUCAGAGCAUUCAAUCUUCAUGCUGUUUUCAAAGAGGUGAUGGGUUUCAUAAGACCAAUUGCAGCUAUCAAGAGGCUGUCUAUGUCGGUUAUGUUAGCGCCAGAUUUACCAUUAUGUGCUAUUGGCGACGAAAAGAGGCUAAUGCAAACUAUCCUAAAUAUCUCCGGUAAUGCUGUUAAGUUCACCAAGGAGGGCCACAUUACGCUUCUAGCUUCCGUUCUCAAGCCUGAUUCUUUAAGAGAGUUCAGAACCCCAGAUUUCGAUCCAGCUGCAAGUGAUGACCAUUUCUAUUUGAAAGUUCAGCUAAAGGAUACAGGCUGUGGCAUUAGCCCUCAGGAUCUACCCCAUGUAUUCACAAAAUUCGCUCAAACUCAGCCUGGAGGUACCCAAGGAUACAGUGGUAGUGGCCUUGGCCUUGCCAUUUGCAGGAGGUUUGUUACUCUGAUGGGAGGGCACAUCUGGCUGGACAGUGAAGGAGCAGGAAGAGGCUGCACGGCCACGUUCAUCAUCAGGCUCGGCGUAUCCGACAACACCGACUCAUAUCAGCAGCAGCUGACCCCUCUCGCGUGGCCAGGCAGCGCAAAUGUCGAAUCUGCCGGUCCGAAGGCGCUUCACGAGGAGACGUGGCCGCCAUCUUCCCUGAAGCCUCGUUACCAGAGAAGUGUAUGA